UUCAAUGAAAAUAAAAUUUAGUACAACAAAUAACGAACAUAUUACUACACCAAAAACACAAAUAUAGUAGGCCAACAUAAUAAAAGAACAUGAAAUAUGAAAAAUAUAGUAAACACAUACAUGUCAAUGUUUAGUCCCGGUUGCCAUUAUUCUCUGCUCCAACCACUUAAAUCGUUCUUUCAGUUGUUCUUUUUCUUCUUCUACCUCUUUUAGUUUCACAUUCACCUCCGAAAGUUCCCGUUUAUAUAUAUUUUUACAUUCCUUUUGUGCUUUUCAUUUUUCUUCUCCCACAUCCUUCAGUUUUUCCCUCAUUUCUGCAAUAAUUCUAUCGCUUUCUCUUUGUCUUUCCUGUUGGCAUAAACACAUAUUAUGAAGAAACUGCAGUUGAUCUCUGUAUCAAUCCUAAUAACAUGGUUCAUCAACCCAUUCCCCAAAAUCACAAAUAGGUUCGCCGGGAACCUUGUAAAACUGGUUCAUACAGCACCAGUAGCGGCGUCCAACUUCACCACCAUCACAACAAUUUUGUAUCGAGAAUUCUUUUCCACAGUUGCACUUUGGUGGAUGAAGAGGUUGAGCCAUUUAAUGAAAUAUGUGCUUUUAGUAAAAAAAAAAAAAACCAUACUUGUAAUGAAAUAUUUGUUUUUAG
This 646-nucleotide long non-coding RNA is filed under the name Nicotiana benthamiana. RNAcentral describes it as "long non-coding RNA (NBEN_LNC027141)". Lineage: Eukaryota; Viridiplantae; Streptophyta; Magnoliopsida; Solanales; Solanaceae. The record is from RNAcentral.